This is a non-coding RNA of Podarcis lilfordi (Lilford's wall lizard), 74 nucleotides long. The record is from the annotation of a GenBank genome assembly. Lineage: Eukaryota; Metazoa; Chordata; Lepidosauria; Squamata; Lacertidae.
GCCUGGAUAGCUCAGCUGGUUACAGCUUGGUGCCAAAAAUGCCCAGGUUAUAGGUUUGAUCCCCAUAUGGGACA